RNAcentral lists this ribosomal RNA (253 nucleotides) under uncultured bacterium. Its description in RNAcentral is "partial 16S ribosomal RNA". It matches the Rfam family "Bacterial small subunit ribosomal RNA", at positions 524 to 776 of the family's 1533-position model. The record is from RNAcentral.
UACGGGGGGGGCAAGCGUUGUUCGGAAUUACUGGGCGUAAAGGGUUCGUAGGUGGCCAACUAAGUCAGACGUGAAAUCCCUCAGCUUAACUGGGGAACUGCGUCUGAUACUGGUUGGCUUGAGUGCAGGAGAGGAUGGCGGAAUUCCCCAAGUAGAGGUGAAAUUCGUAGAUAUGGGGAGGAACACCGGUGGCGAAGGCGGCCAUCUGGACGGAUACUGACGCUGAGACGCGAAAGCGUGGGGAGCAAACAGG